This 253-nucleotide ribosomal RNA is filed under the name uncultured bacterium. Its description in RNAcentral is "partial 16S ribosomal RNA". It matches the Rfam family "Bacterial small subunit ribosomal RNA", at positions 524 to 776 of the family's 1533-position model. The record is from RNAcentral.
UACGUAGGGUCCGAGCGUUGUCCGGAAUUAUUGGGCGUAAAGAGCUCGUAGGCGGUUUGUCGCGUCUGCUGUGAAAUCCCGAGGCUCAACCUCGGGCCUGCAGUGGGUACGGGCAGACUGGAGUGCGGUAGGGGAGAAUGGAAUUCCUGGUGUAGCGGUGGAAUGCGCAGAGAUGUGGAGGAACACCAAUGGCGAAGGCAGCCUUCUGGGCCAACACUGACGCUGAGGCGCGAAAGCUAGGGGAGCGAACGGG